RNAcentral lists this ribosomal RNA (278 nucleotides) under uncultured bacterium. RNAcentral describes it as "partial 16S ribosomal RNA". It matches the Rfam family "Bacterial small subunit ribosomal RNA", at positions 511 to 788 of the family's 1533-position model. The record is from RNAcentral.
GCAGCCGCGGUAAGACGUAGGUAGCAAGCGUUGUCCGGAAUAACUGGGUGUAAAGGGAGCGUAGGCGGUUAUGUAAGUCUAAUGUGAAAGUUUGUGGCUCAACCAUAAAAGUGCAUUGGAUACUGUAUGACUGGAGUACGGAAGAGGUAUACGGAAUUACUAGUGUAGCGGUGGAAUGCGUAGAUAUUAGUAGGAAGACCGGAGGCGAAGGCGGUAUACUGGGACGAUACUGACGCUGAGGCUCGAAAGCGUGGGGAGCAAACAGGAUUAGAUACCCC